UUGUCUUUUGUCCAUAAAAGGCUCAAGAAAAGGGCACCUAAAUUGAAACAAAGCGCACCUGCAGCUAGUUGGGUUCGUGUAUUCUCCACUUCCCUCCGUGGUGUGCGGCAAAAAAGACUACAUUCGUGAGAGAAAAAGGGCGCGGUUUGUUUGAGUGAGUGAGGGAAUUUUGUAAGCAGCCAUAGGUUUGAAUAAGGUUUUCAGUGUGAUGUGGAGUUGUUUCCACCUACAACCCAGUAUUGUUUCACAGCAAUCAGAACCUUCUCGGGCACAAGGGGGC
This 280-nucleotide long non-coding RNA is filed under the name Cucumis sativus (cucumber). Its description in RNAcentral is "long non-coding RNA (CSAT_LNC000587)". The record is from RNAcentral. Lineage: Eukaryota; Viridiplantae; Streptophyta; Magnoliopsida; Cucurbitales; Cucurbitaceae.